This 313-nucleotide ribosomal RNA is filed under the name uncultured Cercozoa. Its description in RNAcentral is "partial 18S ribosomal RNA". The record is from RNAcentral. Lineage: Eukaryota; Cercozoa.
GAUUUCUGGUUUAAUGCACCUGGCCCGCGGCCAAUAGGCUUGUGAGUGCCGGCGCGCGUUUACCAUCCUUCUAGAAAACGAUUCUGCCAUUCACCUCUGGCCGGCCAAUACUAGCACCCCCAACUAUCCCUAUCAAUCAUUACUUCAGUUAUAGAAACCAACAAAAUAGAACCGAAGUCCUAGAUUAUUAUUCCAUGCUAAUGUAUUCAUAGCAAAAGCCUGCUUUAAACACUCUAAUUUUUUCAAAGUAAAAGAUCUAGAUCGCGGUCCCAAAUUCUUGGAUUCGGUCAAGACUAACUUAUGCGAAAGCAUU